GGCUCUGUCGGGGCGGACGGAGCAAGGAGGGCGAUGCACUCUGUAGUUAGCGAUGCCGCUCAGGCCUCCGGGCUCACUCUCUAUGACCAGGGAUCGUCUGGCUGGCAGGAGCGUCGUUUGCUGGCCCCCCCUGCUCGAAGUGCAGGCUCAGACUGGGGGUCUAAGGGUGGUGCCGUGCUGUGGCUCCCACUCUCCGUGUGGGAAAUCCCUGUUUGAGACCAAAAUGCCAGCCUGGAGAAUGUUCUUCCUGCAGAAAAUCUGGCAAAAUUCUCACGGAACAGCUCUGCUUUUUCAAGGCCUGGUAUUCUUCUGUCUUCUGUCCCACUACAGGGAAUAACAGUGAAAGCCCUGGUGAAGGCAGUGAUGAAGCAGAAUGUGCACAGGCUGUUGCUGUUCCUCAGAAAGUUGUUGGAUCCCUGACAAGCCUGUAGAGGCACCUCAAGGCCCUGCAAAGGUGAAUUGCUUGUGUUCAUUUCGCAUGGAUAUUGACGACAGUCAAUAUUGACUGAGAGAUAAGUUUGUUCUUUUGCGUAAACAUCACGCUGAUAACUGGUGAAGCAGGAAGGUGUAUCUUGGUCUGCAUGCUUCUGCAAGAGGACUGGUCUUUAUGGCAGGCUGAAGAGCAUAGAAGGAAGGAUGCAGCACUAUUAGGGGAAAGGUGUGGAACUGCAGAAGUAGAAGGAGGAGUUUCUGAAAGCAGCUGUUGCUCCAGCAGGUGGGCUCCAGUUGCAUUGCAAAAUGAAGCUGCAGUGGACUCAGCUGGAGAGGGCUGUGUAGAGCUACCAUUGAAAAACAAAUGUUCCAGAUUUUGUGAUAGGUGUUGGGAUUAGGUGGCUUUUAAUGUAGAUCGGCCCCUAAACUGCCUGGAAACAGGUUGCUUUGGAUAUGGAUGAGUUCUCUAAAAGCUGUUCAAGUUAUUAGAAAUCAGAUGCCUCUCCCCACUUCUAAAUCCUUCCCCUGCUUGACAAGGCCUUAUGUCUAACGUUAAGUGUUAUCUUCUUUUUGAUAAGUAGAAGGGACAGAUACUGUGAACCAUUGUGGAAAGGAGGAUAUGUUGUGCAUAAUCCAAUGGCUGUGAUCAUAGGGACCUGAAAAGUAGCCCAUUCUUUUUGAAGAAAGUGCUCUUAGGAGAGCUGAUCUUGGGUUGAGCACAGCUGACGAGUAAAGCAAACCCAAGAUAGCAGUACAGCCUGCGUACAUGUCAAAACACUUCUGUCUCUGCAGGAGUUUUAGAUUUCCAAGAAAGCAAUCCAUAAGGUUUUCCUUAAUGUCCUGCCAUUUCUAAAGCAACGGAGUUGCUGCUAACUAGGGCUGCAUGCGGUGUAACGUGUGUGUGUCUGAAUUGCUUCUGCACCUGAAUGUUGCUCUUUUCCACUGUGAUAGAAGCCAUUUGCUAGAAGGAGCAUCUUGCCAUGUACAAUAUGUCAGUGACUAACUGUCUUUCCUCUGUAGGUACAAAUUCAAAGCAGGAAGAAAUGCCCUGUGAGUUCACAAAACCCGUUUUGGCUUUGAGUAAGAAAGAGCAAAAAUUAUUUGGGAGCAUGAGAGUAAGAAGCAGCAGGUGGGAGAACACUUUGAAUUCCAUUCCGGGCUAUGUCCAGUGAAUAUCCUGGAGGACAUUGGGGUAACAAGUUUAGUCCUUAGUAUUGGGAAUGAGGUAGCGAUUUGCUUCAAAAUUAUGUGUUUAAUAAUCUUUGGUAAAUGCUCUCUGUCAUUAGGUAAGAAUUGCCAUGAUUACCUAAUGAUGCCGUACUUGGUUGUUUCUCUGUUGCACUUUUUUUUGGUGCUUGGACUUGGGUAACUGCUUUCUGGCUCUUUUGAACAGGGUGUUCCAGAGUAGAAAACAUAUCUUGUUAGAGCUUCCGAGUGUCCAGUUAUCACUUUGAAAAUCAGAUGCUGCAUGCCUGGCAGAGGUGAAGAAAAGAUAAAGUGAAGUCUUCUAGUCCCACUACGGGGACUGUCUUGGCCUAGUGCAGCUAGUGGAACUGAAUAUGGAUUGAGUGCUCUUCUGGGGCUGAAGGACAAAACUUCCAGCUGGCAGCAGAACUAACUACAAUAAUUCAGCUAGUGACUCCUGGAAUGGACUGUUAGGAUGCAGCCUGAUGAGAAAACAUUGCUGAUUUUUUUCUGUUUCAGAUUCAGAAAUAAUUCAGCUUAUUUUUGUGACCAGUCUUUGCAGCAUCACCCUUUCUGGCUGACACCUUCCAGUCUUCAUUUCGGCUGAAGACUGAAACUGGAGCUGCUCGAGUGAUCAAUCAUUUGAUCUGUUGAUGUGAAUUGUGACUACAAAUUUGAAAGUGCAUGUGUGUUUUCAGUCCAGUUCACAGCAGUACUGUUUGUCGAAGAGUUUUGUGCGGUAUGGUACUGAAGAAUUGUUCCUCUCACUGCACCUUUCUAUAAAUAUUGCUGGAAGUAGAGUAUGUUUUAACAUUUACAGUGUGCUUGGACUGCUUUUCUAUGUUGAACUUCUGUGCAAACAUAAUUUAGAGCAUCUUAGUGUAAGGAGUUUACAUUUGGUAAGAUUCAGUUUUGUUUUGUUUCUAUUUUUAAUUAUGUACAUAUAAUGGAAAAAUAUUAAAAUGAGUUGUAUUCUCUCUGGACUUUUAUGAAACUUUGCCAAUGACACUGCUUUCCAUCUUGCAAGUCCUUGUGUUCCUUGUGGCAUCCUUUCAGGGGGACAAGUGAAAUUUUGCCAUUAAUUUGAAGCAGAUUGUCUUCUCAGCUUUAUUUGGAUGGGUUAUAGCCCAGAGUGAGGUGAUUGCAAGGAUGGAGUUGUCCUUCACACAAAGGUACAAGGAUGUACUGGAAUGCUGAGAACUCACAGGGCACACAAGGAACCAAUGUCAGAAUCUAUUGUCUCAAAAUUAAAAAUAGCACAAUUUGCAAUAUUUAGCGCACUCAAAUAACCUUAACUGUUUCUUUCCAGCCUCCCACCAUCUGCUGCUUGCUGACCAACCCCCUCAGUCUGAAUACCUUGUUUCCGCCCUUUCUUAUGACAGAGUAACGUCUCCAGUUCUGAGCUGGUGUCUAAUGCACAGCUGUCUACUACAGGCAGUAUGGUUUACUGAAUACAGGCAGUAUACAGGUAGUAUGGACUGAAUCUGCUUCAGCUUCUGUUUCUGGAAAUCACUCACUUUGUGCAUACAGACAGGAAAUAAAAUGAAUCAAAGCAUGUAGGGUCUGCAAAAAGAGGAACAUACUUGAGAAAAGGUUCAGCAGGGAAAUCAUGAUUUCCCUGCGGGGCAUUCAGGCAAGGGAUGCAGCUACAAGAAAGUGUCUCUGUCCCCAGGAUGGUCUUUUCUCUUUCAGUCCCACUGGAAUCCCAGGUACAGCAAGUACUAGACAGGGUGAAGAAUCUGUACUGCUGUGCAGAAUGCGAUGAUACAAAGUGCAUGUGAUGCCCUGGAAGUUUAUUUGUUUAAAAUGUAAGUUAAGGUGCACGGUUGCUUUUUAAACAACUGGCAUAUUAAUGAUGCACACAACUAAUUGCCGGCUGUAUUAAAUCUAUUGUGUUGCCAUUUCUGCACUGUAAAAAAUUCUGUAAGAACAUACUUAAAAUGGAGAAACACGAUCUGAAUUGUGGAGUAUGUUGGGGGGGGGAGGGGAGUUAUGACAAAUACCUGUGUGAGGUGUACACAUCAAGUAUUUAGUGCUCCCCUACACCCCAAAAAGACAAGACGCUCUGUAACACUGGAACAGCAUCAGCUGAUGGUGCAUGGCCUGAAGCACGAGCCUGUGCUUUCAUGGUCUGCUCCCUCUCCAACUGUGCAUGGCUGACAUUAGUUUGCACAGGCUUUGCAAGGCAAGGAAGCAAAGCCCACAAAAAACAUGGUGUCUUCCUCUGUGGUCUCUGUCCAGCCCUCAUUAAAAUCUGUGGAAAUCCUUCUCCUACUGUUACUCUGUUCAGCAGAGCACUUGAACUGACUCACAGGCAAACUGAUGGCCUGUGCAGCACGGUAUGUUGGUGUAUGCUGUGGUUCCACUCACUUGUUCCACUGCUUCAUGCUUUUCCCUCACAGAUGCGACACCACACAUGCAAGAAACCAGUUGAACUGGGUUCCCUGCAGUCUGCUAUACAUGUUCUGAAUCAGGUGUGGGCAAAGUUGGCUUCUUCACAGACCUUGUGCCACUGCAGACACAGACUGAGGGACACUGCCUGCAUCCACAAAGAGUGCGCCCAUAGUGUGUGUCCAUGAAUGGAGAACUGUCACAUUAAACAGGUGAGAUUCUUACAGGUGGCUAAGGAGGCCCUCCCGUCAUGUCACAAGAUUGCAAAUAUUUGCUUUCUAAGCAUCCCCUCGGAGAGGAUGCCUAGGUGUGCUAAAUCUAUUUCUAGUUUCAGACUUGGUUGAAGGUUUAUUGCAGACUACCUGGGGUUGCUUCAAUUUGAAUUCAAAACAAAUCCCUUAAAGUCAAAACAAAUUGACUGGCAUCAAAAAAUGUCGAUUGUAAUCAGGAGUCCAUUGAAGUAAAAAGAAAUGUAUUAAAUUAAAACAAGUCGACUGAACUCAAAACAAUCCAGU
Molecule: long non-coding RNA, 4523 nt
Organism: Cuculus canorus (common cuckoo)
Lineage: Eukaryota; Metazoa; Chordata; Aves; Cuculiformes; Cuculidae
Exons: 3
Source: RefSeq, a predicted model, not a curated record